UACGAAGGGUGCAAGCGUUACUCGGAAUCACUGGGCGUAAAGGGCGCGUAGGCGGCCAUUCAAGUCAGGGGUGAAAGCCUGUGGCUCAACCACAGAAUUGCCUUUGAUACUGUUUGGCUAGAGACCGGAAGAGGUAAGUGGAACUGCGAGUGUAGAGGUGAAAUUCGUAGAUAUUCGCAAGAACACCAGUGGCGAAGGCGGCUUACUGGUCCGGUUCUGACGCUGAGGCGCGAAAGCGUGGGGAGCAAACAGG
This 253-nucleotide ribosomal RNA is filed under the name uncultured bacterium. Its description in RNAcentral is "partial 16S ribosomal RNA". It matches the Rfam family "Bacterial small subunit ribosomal RNA", at positions 524 to 776 of the family's 1533-position model. The record is from RNAcentral.